GAUGAACGCUAGCGGCAGGCUUAAUACAUGCAAGUCGUGGGGCAGCAGGUUUGUAGCAAUACAGAUGCUGGCGACCGGCAAACGGGUGCGGAACACGUACAGAACCUUCCUUUGAGCGGGGAAUAGCCCAGAGAAAUUUGGAUUAAUACCCCAUAGUAUAAUGAAGUGGCAUCACUUUAUUAUUAAAGAUUUAUCACUCGAAGAUGGCUGUGCGGCUGAUUAGGUAGUUGGCGGGGUAAAGGCCCACCAAGCCUGCGAUCAGUAACUGGUGUGAGAGCACGACCAGUCACACGGGCACUGAGACACGGGCCCGACUCCUACGGGAGGCAGCAGUAAGGAAUAUUGGUCAAUGGAGGCAACUCUGAACCAGCCAUGCCGCGUGGAGGAUGAAGGUCCUCUGGAUUGUAAACUCUUUUAUAUGGACGAAAAAAGGCUUUUCUAAGUCGUCUGACGGUACCAUAUGAAUAAGCACCGGCUAACUCCGUGCCAGCAGCCGCGG
This 499-nucleotide ribosomal RNA is filed under the name uncultured bacterium. RNAcentral describes it as "bacterial SSU rRNA". It matches the Rfam family "Bacterial small subunit ribosomal RNA", at positions 28 to 520 of the family's 1533-position model. The record is from RNAcentral.